RNAcentral lists this long non-coding RNA (281 nucleotides) under Trifolium pratense (red clover). Its description in RNAcentral is "long non-coding RNA (TPRA_LNC011310)". Lineage: Eukaryota; Viridiplantae; Streptophyta; Magnoliopsida; Fabales; Fabaceae. The record is from RNAcentral.
CCAGGAAAGCAAUUUUUUAAAUCUAAUUUAACAUCUCAAACUAUUUCAUACACACCAAGCAAUUAAACACGUACACAACAAUAUAAACAUAAUAUAUUUAUAUUUAAGUAUUACCCUUAUCCAAAAGUACAUAAUCAACCAAACAUAACCAAAACUAAGACUAAAUUAUCACUACUACCUACACUUGCAAGUAUCACAAGUGAAUUGAUCUUCACCAUCAGACACAUACAAAAGGGGGAAUAAAUCCUUUUAAAUUCUUGCAUACAAAAAGUCAAUAUCCU